Long non-coding RNA from Condylostylus longicornis, 1643 nucleotides. RefSeq lists it as uncharacterized. The transcript is spliced from 2 exons. The record is from RefSeq and is a predicted model, not a curated record. NCBI's taxonomy places the organism in Eukaryota, Metazoa, Arthropoda, Insecta, Diptera, Dolichopodidae.
UGAGCUCCCUACCAGGCGGGUCUGCGGGUGGUGGAUUGCAGAAUGACUACAUUACAAAGUGGAUAAUGUAGUUAGUGCACAGAAUUGCACCCCGAACCAGCUCAAAAUUACCUUAUACCUUAACAGGUUAAGGUAUUUGUGCCAUUGUGUUCUGACACAAUGAAAAAUGUAUUUUUAUCACAGAAGAAUACUAGAACUUCUGAUGAGUUUUUUUUAAAUAUUUAAAAGAAGAUGAAUAAAUAAAAGGAACAAAGUUGUAACGAUAUACUUGGAAAUACAUGGAUUCUAUUAAAAAAUUCAUGGUAAAAAAAAAGAAGAAUGGUCUAUGGUGACCAAAAACGUUGAACAAAAGAAAACCUAUUUGGAGAUAUGAAAAUUCAUUCGAUGGGAAUAGAAUGCGAAGUAACCAAAAAGGUAUUUUAAUAAUGAUGGAUUUCAUAAUGGAAGCUUGUCAUAUAUUAGCAGUGGCGGACCUUUAUAUGUAAGGAUCAUGGCCUUUGAAAAUUAAAGUCAUAUGACAACAGAAGUGAUACCAACAGAGAAACCUCAAGGAGCAUUAGUCAACUUGGGGUUUAUUAACCCAAUUAAAAAAAACCAAGAAAGUUGGAAAAUGGGUAAUAUGAAUGCUGCAGCAAUGUGUAUUAAUUCAAAAAGAUUUUUAAAAAUGACAGCGGCAAAGAAUUAGGAAUGCCUUAUUUUUUGAAAAGAAAUUUGUAAAAGUCCUCCAACAAAAAGUAAUGUUGCUGCAUGUACAAUGAAAAUGUUUUAAAUAGGAAAAAUCGCCUAUUUAAAUGUUAAAUCGAAUAUUUUGGGAAAUAAGUUAGAGUUAGAAUUCGAAUUCUAAUUUAUAAAGAAUAACUGAAAAUCAUGGAUUUAACCAAAAUGCCAUAUUCGAAAUCAUUUAGCCUCUUCCAAUAUAAGGACAUAAAAAACUAAUUUCAGGUGGAACAAAAUCAUGUUAUUUUUUGAAUGUAAUUUUAUUUUCUUUUAAUUGGAACUUAUAUGAAAACAUGGAGGACUUAUUUUGUAACGAAGUUCAUUUUUAUGUCCCUUGAUAGUUUUGUGAUCAUGAAUCAUUUGUACAACAGAUUUAUAAGGAAAUUGUUACUAUAAUCCAAAAGCAAUUUUGUCACGAAUUGUAAUAUUAAAGGAAGAGGUCUAUAAGAAGACUAGUUUAAAUGGCAAUCGAAAGGCUUACAACAAACUAGUCUAACCUCAAAAAGGUUUAGUGAAAAAAAAAACGGCCAACGAUUUGCAUCCCUCAAGGGGAAAUCGCACUCCAUAUAUAUGCAGUUUAGGAAAUUUUCUCAAAUAAAAUAUAUUAUGUGAGACGACACACCAUAUACAUAUAAUAUUUGGGGAAUUAUAUUCUCAAUUUAGUUGACAAUUAUAUUGACAAUUUAGUUGGGAGAUUUAUGGAUUCCCCAUUUACUUUGUAACAUGGGAGAAUUUUGAUUCCCCAUUCACAUGUAAUUGAGUAGUCCUCAAUUACAUGUAAUAUGGGGGAAUAUACGCCCCCAUAUUUACGAUGGGCGAUACCGCAUAAAUAAAAAUAUUAACAAAAAAUCCUUGUCCAUUAAAGUUGAAAAAUUAUUUAAUGGCCAAACCAAAAAAAAUAAUAAAAAAUCAAUGUAAAAUGUAAA